Hippocampus comes (tiger tail seahorse) is the source of this 220-nucleotide long non-coding RNA. RefSeq lists it as uncharacterized. The record is from RefSeq and is a predicted model, not a curated record. The transcript is spliced from 3 exons. NCBI's taxonomy places the organism in Eukaryota, Metazoa, Chordata, Actinopteri, Syngnathiformes, Syngnathidae.
AGUACAGAAUCUAUCGUUUUAAAUAGUGUGUGUGGGUUGUGACGGUUAGCUAGAAUAAGGUCCGACAGAUAUUCUCUUUUGGCCUCUUUUACUGUGACCUGGUAGUUACACCAGCAGUCUUUCCAAAUUUGAUAAGAGACCUGCAAUUUGUCUUUUUUCCACUUGCGUUCGGCUUUGCGACACCCCUGCCUAGCUGCGCGAGAAAUAUAAAUACAAUACA